UCGCGGCGGUGUGCGCAGAAGGGUCUGGGCUCGAGCCUGCCUGGAGCCGCCGCCGGUGCAGAUCUUGGUGGUAGUAGCAAAUACUCCAGCGAGGCCCUGGAGGACUGAUGUGGAGAAGGGUUUCGUGUGAACAGCCGUUGCACACGAGUCAGUCGAUCCUAAGCCCUAGGAGAAAUCCGAUGCAAACGGCGAUGGGAAACGCAAAAAAUGACUCGUUGUCACGAUGAGACAGAGACCCAUUGAUCGGGCGAAAGGGAAUCCGGUUCCUAUUCCGGAACCCGGCAGCGGAACCGUUGUUUGUCGGGCCCUCGCAAGGGGUUCGUCAGGGCAACCUAAAAGGGCCCGGAGACGCCGUCGGGGGCCCCGGAAAGAGUUUUCUUUUCUGCAUGAGCGUUCGAGUUCCCUGGAAUCCUCUCGCAGGGAGAUAGGGUUUGGAACGCGAAGAGCACCGCAGUUGCGGCGGUGCACGGGAAUUCCCGACGGACCUUGAAAAUCCGGGAGAGGGCCACGUGGAGGUGUCGCGCCGGCUCGUACCCAUAUCCGCAGCAGGUCUCCAAGGUGAAGAGCCUCUAGUC
This 575-nucleotide ribosomal RNA is filed under the name Orthetrum julia. Its description in RNAcentral is "eukaryotic LSU rRNA". It matches the Rfam family "Eukaryotic large subunit ribosomal RNA", at positions 1389 to 1888 of the family's 3401-position model. Lineage: Eukaryota; Metazoa; Arthropoda; Insecta; Odonata; Libellulidae. The record is from RNAcentral.